Lotus japonicus is the source of this 2756-nucleotide long non-coding RNA. RefSeq lists it as uncharacterized. The record is from RefSeq and is a predicted model, not a curated record. The transcript is spliced from 2 exons. NCBI's taxonomy places the organism in Eukaryota, Viridiplantae, Streptophyta, Magnoliopsida, Fabales, Fabaceae.
GUGUUUUUCUUCUCUCUCUCUCUUUCUCUCUUUGCCUAUAUAUAAGAACCUAUAUCUGAGUUAGGGUUUUCAGGGUGAGUGAUGAGGGUUUGUUGAGGGGAAUGUUGGCUGGCUCGAGGCUUUUCACAGAGCAAGUUCUCUCUCAGUGUAUAUAAGGCUUCGGACCAGGCUUCAUUCCCCUCAAAACUUGUAUAUAGCUAACAUUUGUUCUUAAUUCAAACACAAGGUGCUGUGUUUUCAUGUAGAUUAUGUGUAUGGUGAAAGAUGUCUGAGGAAGCUAGCUAGUCCUGCUGCAAAUGUUAAGGUUGAGAGGACUGUUGUCUGGCUCGAGGUCAUGGAAGAGUUCUGAAUGAUGAAGUAUGUUUCCAUGGUCAUUAGUGGAAAUCUAUACACCUUCAAUGAUUCUCGGACCAGGCUUCAUUCCCCCCAGCCAACAUUUGCUACUUAAUAAUUUCAAUUUCUUUGUUCAUGAGGAUCAUCAUCUUCUUCCCCAGGAUACCACAAAAGAAGGGUCCUUAAUUAGUUUGCAGUACUAUGCAAGGUGAGAAAACUUACAGCUCUAAUUAUCUCUGUACUGUCAAUUCUUAUGAAGGAUGUACCUUCUAGUCUUGUUUCAAUUGCAACUUGAGUGACCUUAUGACAGCUUCUUCCAAGUUUCCAUCUUGGAAGGUGCUGAAAAUUAGUUUAUAAUGUGAUUUUUCAUGACAUUGUUAUCAUUUAUUUUUAUUUUCAAAUUGAUAAAAACAUAACAAAAACAGAAACUCUGCUAGCAGCUGUUUAGAUGAUGCACAUGUAUUAGCUUUAUUUAGUUUUUUUAACUCUUCUGAACCACUCAUGAAGGAAUUAACAUGUCUACUGUCCUAGCCAUUAGAGAGAGAGAGAGAGAUUAGACAAGAGCAUGCUCCAGCACCUUCACCAACCCCAAAGUCGAAGUCUCUAGUUUUCUGUAAUUUUUAUUUAAGAUUAUUAGCAUUUGACAAACAUGAGGAUAAAUAUGAAUAUUAUAUUAUUUUUAAUUAAUUAUGAAUGAAUAAAUUGGCUAAUCAAUCUCCGAAUGUUCAUUUGUCAUGGACAAGAAAGGUGUACAGUGAAAAGCUAUCAGAUGUGAAAUUCUUUCUUUAUAGCCAGCAGCAGCAGCUAGCUAGCAGCUCUGCCUCUAGGUCUUUCUAGGGUUUCAAAGGACAAAAUCCCUCCCCCUUCUGAAAAAAUGUCAUUUCAUCCUUUUUUCAAUUUUCAGACUGGUGAAAAGUAUAGGGAAGGGAACCUCUCUAUAUUUACUGGGGAAAAGGGCAUCAUUUUCAUGAAUCUGAAAGAAAAAAAUGUACUGCAGGUAAAUCAGCAGUGUUACCUGGUAAAUGGCAAGGCAGUCAUAUAAUGUACAAAAUUAUGUUAGUAUGUGUUUGGUUUGAGGUUUAAGAGUGUUAGAAUCAAUUCUCAUUAAUCAGAAUCACCUUUCAAUCUGUUGUGAAUUUAAAUUUUCAUUAAACUAAAUGUGAAUCCACUAUGAAUCAAACAUGUCAAAGUUUUACUUAUCCGAUUCAUGUUAAAUUCAACAUCCCAAAUUUUAACUUAUUUAUUAAAAUAUGUGAAAUCACGUUUGCGUUGACUCUAACACUAAAAUGAACAUGCAUUAUAUAGAACUUUGACAAUUAGCUUAGAAAAUUGAUUUGAGUCUCAAAAUCAAUUAUGCAAAAAAAGCUAUAACCAUGGUGGGCCUAGUGUAUAUUUGGAUACACAGUAAAAUUAAAAUCAUGGUAAAUAACCAAAGGUAGUUCUUAUUUCUACUGUAAUCUUAAUCCACAGUGGUUUUCAACUUUAUAUUCAAAUUAUCACAUGAUCAAUUAUAAGAUUUUAAUAUUUUAUAAUAGGAAUCAAUAUUCCCAUAAACAUAUGAACAUUUUUUCAAUUAAUUUCAUACAAAGAUAAAUCAUUUAUUAAUUUUAUGGAAAAUCAAUUUUGAGAAACACUGAUCCAAUGACACAAUUAAACAUGUGUAUAGUGAAAUAAAUAUUGAUCUAUCUAUAUAUCAUAUGAUGUGAGCAGCUAGGUAGCUAGGUUGUGAAACGUAACUGUUGUGAAUUAAUUGCAUUUUGUUGUGUAGUGAGAUGCCAGACAUGAGUAAUAAAGGCAUGCACUAUAGUACUCGCGCGUUUGCUGGGGCAUCUAUCUGUGAAAUGUGAAUGAAAUAUGGGGAAGAAGAUAGAUACUUAGAUCAUAAAUAGAUACUAGUGUGCUAGAACAGUUAACGAGAAAUUAAACAGUGAUGAGGAACAGGAUAAGGUAGAUCAGAGUAGAUAUGUUUUUCCAUUAUCAUGUCAUGAGGACCCAGAUAUGUGUGCAUACACAAGGUGAUGCAAACUAAACAUGGAAAAAAGAGAAAGAGAAAGCUUCUGAUUUCUCUUAUUUCUUCUAUUCAUGUAAGAUUGUACGUACGUGUGUUUGUGUGUGAGAUCAAUGUGUGUGUUUUAGUGUAACGUAUUUAUGGAGCUUUUAAAGUUGCUGAGAAUUCAGAGACCAUCUUUGGAAAAGCUCGGAUCAGCAAAAUCAGGUUUUCUUCCUUUCCGCGGAGUCAUAGUAAAUACUACCAAUGGAGAGAGAUUAGGCAUUAGAUUAUUUUAGACCACAAUUGAGAACAUUGACUAAGUGCAUACUUAGUUUUAAAUGUGAGUUUAUGUUAAAAUUAAACAUGUCAAAAUUCUGCUUUUUUAUAAUCUUACAUGAAAUUGCAUUAGCGUUGACUCCAACGCUUAAUCAAA